Molecule: long non-coding RNA, 377 nt
Filed under: Phoenix dactylifera (date palm)
Lineage: Eukaryota; Viridiplantae; Streptophyta; Magnoliopsida; Arecales; Arecaceae
Description: long non-coding RNA (PDAC_LNC001774)
Source: RNAcentral
UGCCNCGGGGGCUUGGGCCAUGGCGUUGGAGGCGGCAAUGCACAGGAGAGCGAUGCACAAAAUGGCUCGGCGAUCCAUUUCGCUCGUAGUAGAGAAAAAGGAAAAAGAGAAAGAAGAAAGAGAGAAGAGAGAGAGGAGUGGAGUAGUGGGGGGAGUGGAAGCGGGGAAGAGAAAUAAAUAGAGGCGGUGUGGCGAACAGAAGCGAACAAUAGACGCGGUGGGUGAUGGUAUCUGGCGCCGGAUCACAGACUGGCGGUGGGGUCCAAGGGGCACAUGGGCGUGGGCGAGUGGCAUUCGCAACGGAACGAUUCCGGUCGGCAGGACGCGUCCGGCCAGAUGGACACUGUUCGGUGGCGCCAGCUUGGCCUGUGUGUCCG